RNAcentral lists this ribosomal RNA (230 nucleotides) under uncultured bacterium. RNAcentral's name for it is "partial 16S ribosomal RNA". It matches the Rfam family "Bacterial small subunit ribosomal RNA", at positions 104 to 334 of the family's 1533-position model. The record is from RNAcentral.
CGGGGUGGAGUAAUGUCUGGGAAACGUGCCUGAUGGAGGGGGAUAACUGCUGGAAACGGUAGCUAAUACCGCAUAACGUCGCAAGACCAAAGAGGGGGACCUUCGGGCCUCUUGCCAUCGGAUGUGCCCAGAUGGGAUUAGCUAGUAGGUGGGGUAACGGCUCACCUAGGCGACGAUCCCUAGCUGGCCUGAGAGGAUGACCAGCCACACUGGAACUGAGCACGGUCCAG